CGGGGUGAGUAAUGUAUGGGGAUCUGCCUGAUGGCGGGGGAUAACUACUGGAAACGGUAGCUAAUACCGCAUGAUGUCUGCGGACCAAAGCGGGGGACCUCCGGGCCUCGCGCCAUCAGAUGAACCCAUAUGGGAUUAGCUUGUAGGUAAGGUAACGGCUUACCUAGGCGACGAUCCCUAGCUGGUCUGAGAGGAUGACCAGCCACACUGGAACUGAGACACGGUCCAG
RNAcentral lists this ribosomal RNA (229 nucleotides) under uncultured bacterium. RNAcentral describes it as "partial 16S ribosomal RNA". It matches the Rfam family "Bacterial small subunit ribosomal RNA", at positions 104 to 334 of the family's 1533-position model. The record is from RNAcentral.